ACACCACUGAGGAGUCCCACAAUAGAACGAAACGACCGUUCAGUGU
Molecule: non-coding RNA, 46 nt
Filed under: Schistosoma curassoni
Lineage: Eukaryota; Metazoa; Platyhelminthes; Trematoda; Strigeidida; Schistosomatidae
Source: RNAcentral